RNAcentral lists this long non-coding RNA (1638 nucleotides) under Salvator merianae (Argentine black and white tegu). RNAcentral describes it as "lncRNA (ENSSMRG00000010339.1)". The record is from RNAcentral. Lineage: Eukaryota; Metazoa; Chordata; Lepidosauria; Squamata; Teiidae.
GUGCCAGGCCGAACUGGAGAAACUCCAGUCACACUCCCAGCUGACGCUCUUGCCCCCCCGGUGGGGUUCUCCGACGCCGUGGCCUGAAGCAAAUCCAGCGCAGCAGCUCCGCGCACGGGAUGCCCUUGGGGAAGGAUGGCUCUGGGGCAGGCUGGCUGGGUGAAUCGAAAUGUCCCAGUGUCCCNCCUGCCAGUCCCAUAUCCACAGAGAACGGCGAAGGAGCUCUGUGUGUCCCAUUGGAAGAAAAGCUGAAAAGAGACAAUGAAGAGCUGCAGCUUGCUCUGGCCAAAGCAGAGACCCGGGCUCAGGAGAANGAGAAGGAAUUACGGAGUUUGCAAGGGCAGCUGGAGCUGACUCGGGCUGAGCUGGCACAGUGGAAGAAGCCACAGGGAGACCCAUUGGAAGGGUUGAGUAGUAGACCGGCAGGAGGCUAAAUCCAGCGCAGGGCCUUGUGUCAGUUGGNCCCAUCCGGGGAACUGACAUUGUCUCUGCUACGGUGGCCUGUUUGGGCCAUGCUUAAGCCGGGGGUCAGAUCAGAAAGAACUAUUGGUAGGUGAAGCAAAGUUAAGGAGGGGGGCGUUCUGUGCAGACCCACCAGAAAAGCCUCCCCCCCGACUGUUGGGGUUAUGGGUAGGACUUCUGCUCUCCCCCCGCCCCCGCAAGGAGCCCCACAGCACAGAGGGCUGUAAUGCUUUGCGUUCNCGAUGACAAAGCAAAGUUGGUUCCCUCUGCAUCGCCUGACAGAUUUAUGAAGCUCCGCGUCCUCCUCUGUCCCUUGGCCAAGCGAAAUGAUAAACCUUGUUAAUUAUCGCCUGCAUUCCUCGUGGGCAGGGGAAUUUAACGAGGCUGCGGCUCAUCAUCAGAAGUGCUGUUUUACAAGCUUCUUCCCGGGAACAGGUCACAGGCUUCUUGGCAGCAGCGGCGAUUUGGGGUCACGGCUGCCUCUGUGAGAAGCUGGCAGACGAGUAGCUGGAGGUGGCACGAAGGGAAAGGCGGCUGCCGCGUUGGCUGCCAUGUUGGGCGGACGGGCGUCAAACGUGGGCUCAGAGUUUCUGCCUGGACGGCGUGAUCCUGAGGAAUAGAGGAAGAGCCGUCUCUCAGCUUUCCCCUGUUAGUUGGGGGGAGCUUUGCAAGAGCUGAGCUGCUAAGGUGUCUUUGCAAGAGCUGAGCUGCUAAACCAUCCUGGCUGGCAAGAGCUUGGCAAGAGCUGAAUUGCUAAACUGUCCUGCCUCAGUUAGCUAGAGCUUUGCAAGAACUGAGCUGCUAAAGUGUCCUGUGUCAGCUCACAGGACCUUUGCAAGAGCAGAGCUGCUACACUUUCCUGGCUGGGCGGAGCUUUGCAAGAGCUGAGCUGCUAAACUGUCCUGUCCUGGCUGGGAGGAGUAACUGUGGCACCGUGGUAGAGCAACUGCCUAGAAAGCAGAGGGUCGUGGGUUCCAUUCCAGCCUCCCCUCUGAAGUUGACCACAUUGAUUUGUUAUUUGUACCACCUGAUUACGUGGGUACCAGUUCUGGAUUAUGAGUUCCUGGUUUUGNAAUUCCAUCUCAUUCUGUUCGCUCUUUUCCUUCUUCUCUUUCCUUUUUGUUUGGGACAUUGGACUGUAAUAAACCUUUGGUUUGAUUUGAUCUGCGAAACCCC